Molecule: ribosomal RNA, 921 nt
Filed under: Triticum aestivum (bread wheat)
Lineage: Eukaryota; Viridiplantae; Streptophyta; Magnoliopsida; Poales; Poaceae
Description: partial small subunit ribosomal RNA
Source: RNAcentral
AUGCAAAAUGCUUUACGAACUACAAUGCCCCACACCCGUCACAGAUGGUGCAGAUGGCAUGUGUUAAAGGUGUUGAAAGAGAAAAUUGGACAUGUGUACAGCAAACAUUCUGUCUUCAAGAAGGAAUUCCACGCGAUAGUAAAUGAAGAGACAGAUGUAGAAUCAUUUGAGUGGAGGUGGCAUCAAUUGAUUAAAAAAUACAAGCUUCAAGGGAACAAGUACCUUCGCAGGAUUUUCAAAUGGAGGGACAUGUGGGCAAUGCCAUACUUCAUGGGCACUUUCUGUGCCGGAAUGACCAGCACGCAACGGAGCGAGAGUGCGAAUCAUCUCUUGAAAAAGUUCAUCAGCAGAUCAUCCCCAAUGCACUUGUUCGUUAAGCAGUACAACAAAUUGCUUGAAUCCAGGAGUCAGGCAGAGGACGAGGCAAACUAUGUCAGCAAGCAGACACGCAGACGGCUUGUAAUUGGUGCUACUAUCGAGAUAGAUGCAGCGGCUGUGUACACGAAGGCCUUGUACGAAAAAUUUUCACACGAACUUUUUAGAUCUGGCUCUUUUGAUGCACGCUGUUCCAAGCCUGGUCAUGUCUACAAGGUCAAGUUGUCGCCGCAACUAGCCUUAACUGAUUAUGACAAAAAAAUAUUCACUGUCAAAGUGGAGGACGGUUGGGAUCUUGUCACAUGUGAUUGUGGAUUUUUUGAUCAUGUCGGAUUGCUGUGCUGCCAUUCAUUAAAGGUCUUAGUUCAGAACAAUAUUGGCAAGAUUCCAUCAAGGAAUGUAGUCAAACGAUGGACUUUAUGGGCAAGGGAAUCAAGGCCGCUGCACCUGGCAAAUGAGGGUGAAUUGGGGGAGCUGUCUUCUCAAAUUACGUAUAGAAGAAAUGUUCUGUAUGUGGCUGCUAUGGACCUUAUCAAGGAGGCAUAG